RNAcentral lists this ribosomal RNA (207 nucleotides) under uncultured bacterium. RNAcentral's name for it is "partial 16S ribosomal RNA". It matches the Rfam family "Bacterial small subunit ribosomal RNA", at positions 568 to 774 of the family's 1533-position model. The record is from RNAcentral.
CGCGUAGGCGGCCUGCUAAGUCGAACGUGAAAUCCCUGGGCUCAACCCAGGAACCGCGUCCGAUACUGGUUGGCUUGAAUCCGGGAGAGGGAUGUGGAAUUCCAGGUGUAGCGGUGAAAUGCGUAGAUAUCUGGAGGAACACCGGUGGCGAAGGCGACAUCCUGGACCGGUAUUGACGCUGAGGCGCGAAAGCCAGGGGAGCAAACG